This 485-nucleotide ribosomal RNA is filed under the name Dickeya chrysanthemi. Its description in RNAcentral is "bacterial SSU rRNA". It matches the Rfam family "Bacterial small subunit ribosomal RNA", at positions 46 to 515 of the family's 1533-position model. The record is from RNAcentral. Lineage: Bacteria; Pseudomonadati; Pseudomonadota; Gammaproteobacteria; Enterobacterales; Pectobacteriaceae.
GCAGCUACCAUGCAGUCGAGCGGCAGCACAGGGGAAGCUUUGCUCCCCUCGUGCUGACGAGCGGCGGACGGGUGAGUAAUGUCUGGGGAUCUGCCUGAUGGAGGGGGAUAACUACUGGAAACGGUAGCUAAUACCGCAUAACGUCGCAAGACCAAAGUGGGGGACCUUCGGGCCUCACGCCAUCGGAUGAACCCAGAUGGGAUUAGCUAGUAGGUGGGGUAACGGCUCACCUAGGCGACGAUCCCUAGCUGGUCUGAGAGGAUGACCAGCCACACUGGAACUGAGACACGGUCCAGACUCCUACGGGAGGCAGCAGUGGGGAAUAUUGCACAAUGGGGGAAACCCUGAUGCAGCCAUGCCGCGUGUGUGAAGAAGGCCUUCGGGUUGUAAAGCACUUUCAGCGGGGAGGAAGGCGGUAAGGUUAAUAACCUUGCCGAUUGACGUUACCCGCAGAAGAAGCACCGGCUAACUCCGUGGCCAGCAGA